RNAcentral lists this unclassified non-coding RNA (237 nucleotides) under Hevea brasiliensis (rubber tree). The record is from RNAcentral. Lineage: Eukaryota; Viridiplantae; Streptophyta; Magnoliopsida; Malpighiales; Euphorbiaceae.
AUAUGGAACUUUGCAAAUUCGAAUUUAGUGUGACUCUAACGUGAAUAUGAAAAAGAAAAAAAAGGGAGCUUGCUCGUGCUUCUCUGUGGCGUUAUUUAAAAAAGAAGCAAAUGGAGUUAUGGAGCUUUAUAACAUAAUGUUACGUACGUGCUUUCAUGUGUUUGUCUGUGCCUUAUGUCUUUUAUAUUUUCCUUGUCUGUGUGUGUCUGACUGUGUUAUUAAAAUAAAGAAAUAAAA